CAGUCCAAUAUUAAAAGGGCAU
Molecule: microRNA, 22 nt
Filed under: Gallus gallus (chicken)
Lineage: Eukaryota; Metazoa; Chordata; Aves; Galliformes; Phasianidae
Description: microRNA Ros-gga
Source: RNAcentral